RNAcentral lists this ribosomal RNA (301 nucleotides) under uncultured bacterium. RNAcentral describes it as "partial 16S ribosomal RNA". It matches the Rfam family "Bacterial small subunit ribosomal RNA", at positions 509 to 809 of the family's 1533-position model. The record is from RNAcentral.
CAGUAGCCACGGUAAUACGAAGGGUGCAAGCGUUAAUCGGAAUUACUGGGCGUAAAGCGUGCGUAGGCGGUUUGUUAAGUCUGCUGUGAAAUCCCCGGGCUCAACCUGGGAAUGGCAGUGGAUACUGGCAAGCUAGAGUGUUUCAGAGGAUGGUGGAAUUCCCGGUGUAGCGGUGAAAUGCGUAGAGAUCGGGAGGAACAUCAGUGGCGAAGGCGGCCAUCUGGGACAACACUGACGCUGAGGCACGAAAGCGUGGGGAGCAAACAGGAUUAGAUACCCCCGUAGUCCCUGUCUCUUAUAA